Molecule: ribosomal RNA, 737 nt
Filed under: Paenibacillus amylolyticus
Lineage: Bacteria; Bacillati; Bacillota; Bacilli; Caryophanales; Paenibacillaceae
Also listed under: 4 other names
Description: partial 23S ribosomal RNA
Rfam family: Bacterial large subunit ribosomal RNA
Source: RNAcentral
UGGAGGCAACGUUGGGAUACCACCCUGAUCGUAUCUAGGUUCUAACCUGGUACCGUAAUCCGGUGCGGGGACAGUGUCAGGUGGGCAGUUUGACUGGGGCGGUCGCCUCCUAAAGAGUAACGGAGGCGCCCAAAGGUUCCCUCAGAAUGGUUGGAAAUCAUUCGAAGAGUGCAAAGGCAUAAGGGAGCUUGACUGCGAGACCUACAAGUCGAGCAGGGACGAAAGUCGGGCUUAGUGAUCCGGUGGUACCGCAUGGAAGGGCCAUCGCUCAACGGAUAAAAGCUACCCUGGGGAUAACAGGCUUAUCUCCCCCAAGAGUCCACAUCGACGGGGAGGUUUGGCACCUCGAUGUCGGCUCAUCGCAUCCUGGGGCUGAAGUAGGUCCCAAGGGUUGGGCUGUUCGCCCAUUAAAGCGGUACGCGAGCUGGGUUCAGAACGUCGUGAGACAGUUCGGUCCCUAUCUGUCGUGGGCGUAGGAAAUUUGAGAGGAGCUGUCCUUAGUACGAGAGGACCGGGAUGGACGUACCGCUGGUGUACCAGUUGUUCCGCCAGGAGCACCGCUGGGUAGCUAUGUACGGACGGGAUAAACGCUGAAAGCAUCUAAGCGUGAAGCCCCCCUCAAGAUGAGAUUUCCCAGUAUGUAAGACCCCUUGAAGACGACGAGGUAGAUAGGCUGGGGGUGGAAGUGCAGCAAUGCAUGGAGCUGACCAGUACUAAUCGGUCGAGGGCUUAUCCAA